AACGCACAUUGCGCCCUUUGGUAUUCCGAAGGGCAUGCCUGUUCGAGCGUCAUUAUAACCACUCAAGCCUUCGCUUGGUCUUGGGGCACGCGGUCCCGCGGCUCCUAAAAUCAGUGGCGGUGCCUGUCGGCUCUACGCGUAGUAAUACUCCUCGCGAUUGAGUCCGGUGGGCCACCUGCCAGCAACCCCCAAAUUUUUACAGGUUGACCUCGGAUCAGGUAGGGAUACCCGCUGAACUUAA
RNAcentral lists this unclassified non-coding RNA (241 nucleotides) under uncultured fungus. RNAcentral describes it as "partial contains 5.8S ribosomal RNA, internal transcribed spacer 2, and large subunit ribosomal RNA". The stretch from base 1 to 52 matches the Rfam family "5.8S ribosomal RNA", at positions 103 to 154 of the family's 154-position model. Lineage: Eukaryota; Fungi. The record is from RNAcentral.